RNAcentral lists this ribosomal RNA (286 nucleotides) under Pseudo-nitzschia pungens. RNAcentral describes it as "partial Bacterial large subunit ribosomal RNA". It matches the Rfam family "Bacterial large subunit ribosomal RNA", at positions 1132 to 1423 of the family's 2925-position model. The record is from RNAcentral. Lineage: Eukaryota; Bacillariophyta; Bacillariophyceae; Bacillariales; Bacillariaceae.
GCGUAACAGCUCACUAGUCGAGCGAUCGUGCAUGGAUAAUAAACGGGCAUUAAGUAGUACACCGAAGCUAUGGGUAAUAUUUAUAUUACGGUAGGGGAGCAUUCCAGCGGCAGCGAAGUUAUGACGUAAGUUGUGGUGGAGCUUCUGGAAAAGCAAAUGUAGGCAUAAGUAACGAUAAGGCAGGCGAGAAACCUGCCCACCGAAAGGAUAAGGUUUCCUGAUCAACGCUAAUCGGAUCAGGGUUAGUCGGGACCUAAGGAGAACCCGAAGGGGAUAUUCGACGGAC